CAGUGGGGAAUUUUGGACAAUGCUGGCGCAAGCCUGAUCCAGCAAUGCCGCGUGCAGGAWGAAGGCCUUCGGGUUGUAAACUGCUUUUGUACGGAACGAAAAGGCUCUGGUUAAUACCUGGGGCAUAUGACGGUACCGUAAGAAUAAGCACCGGCUAACUACGUGCCAGCAGCCGCGGUAAUACGUAGGGUGCAAGCGUUAAUCGGAAUUACUGGGCGUAAAGCGUGCGCAGGCGGUUUUGUAAGACAGGCGUGAAAUCCCCGGGCUCAACCUGGGAAUUGCGCUUGUGACUGCAAGGCUGGAGUGCGGCAGAGGGGGAUGGAAUUCCGCGUGUAGCAGUGAAAUGCGUAGAUAUGCGGAGGAACACCGAUGGCGAAGGCAAUCCCCUGGGCCUGCACUGACGCUCAUGCACGAAAGCGUGGGGAGCAAACAGGAUUAGAUACCCUGGUAGUCCACGCCCUAAACGAUGUCAACUGGUUGUUGGGUCUCUUCUGACUCAGUAACGAAGCUAACGCGUGAAGUUGACCGCCUGGGGAGUACGGCCGCAAGGUUGAAACUC
This 559-nucleotide ribosomal RNA is filed under the name uncultured Hydrogenophaga sp. RNAcentral describes it as "bacterial SSU rRNA". It matches the Rfam family "Bacterial small subunit ribosomal RNA", at positions 352 to 902 of the family's 1533-position model. Lineage: Bacteria; Pseudomonadati; Pseudomonadota; Betaproteobacteria; Burkholderiales; Comamonadaceae. The record is from RNAcentral.